GGGAAUUUUGAUAGCUUAAAUACACCCAUUUUCUCUCUCUCUUCCCUUAUUGUUCAUCCUCUGUUUUAGGUUUUUAUUUUUAGGGCAUUUUUAUCUUCCAAUUUUCUCUUGGUAUAAUGAGCAACCCUAAAGAUAACUUCAAUGUUGCCGAUCUCAGUGCUGCUCUGAAUGCUGGGGACAGAGCAGACCUUGUUAAUGUUCUCAAAAACAAACUUCAAGACCUUACUGGGAAGCACACAAACUUGCUUGAAAAUCUCUCGCCCAAUGUCAGAAAGCGUGUUGAAGUUCUGAGAGAGAUUCAGUCUCAGCAUGAUGAGUUGGAGGCAAAAUUUUUUGAAGAGAGAGCUGCACUUGAAGCCAAAUACCAAAAGUUGUAUCAGCCUCUAUAUACUAAGAGGUUUGAUAUUGUGAAUGGAGUUGUUGAAGUUGAUGGUGCAGUGACAGAGGCAGCAGCAGACCAGGAAGAGGAUAAAGAUGCAGAGGGGAAAGGAGUCCCAGAUUUCUGGUUCACUGCAAUGAAGAAUAAUGAAGUGCUAGCUGAGGAGAUUUCCGAGCGAGAUGAAGGCGCCCUCAAAUUUCUCAAGGAUAUAAAGUGGACAAGGAUUGAGAAUCCCAAGGGAUUUAAACUUGAAUUUUUCUUUGACACCAAUCCGUACUUCAAGAAUACUGUGCUGACUAAAACAUAUCACAUGAUUGAUG
This 699-nucleotide unclassified non-coding RNA is filed under the name Hevea brasiliensis (rubber tree). Lineage: Eukaryota; Viridiplantae; Streptophyta; Magnoliopsida; Malpighiales; Euphorbiaceae. The record is from RNAcentral.